CGGGGUGUAGCGCAGCUUGGUAGCGCGCCUGCUUUGGGAGCAGGAUGUCGCGGGUUCAAAUCCUGCCACUCCGA
Molecule: transfer RNA, 74 nt
Filed under: Nostoc minutum NIES-26
Lineage: Bacteria; Bacillati; Cyanobacteriota; Cyanophyceae; Nostocales; Nostocaceae
Rfam family: tRNA
About the family: Transfer RNA (tRNA) molecules are approximately 80 nucleotides in length. Their secondary structure includes four short double-helical elements and three loops (D, anti-codon, and T loops).
Source: Rfam by way of RNAcentral